This 342-nucleotide ribosomal RNA is filed under the name uncultured Gammaproteobacteria bacterium. RNAcentral's name for it is "bacterial SSU rRNA". It matches the Rfam family "Bacterial small subunit ribosomal RNA", at positions 1040 to 1382 of the family's 1533-position model. Lineage: Bacteria; Pseudomonadati; Pseudomonadota; Gammaproteobacteria. The record is from RNAcentral.
GCUGCAUGGCUGUCGUCAGCUCGUGUCGUGAGAUGUUGGGUUAAGUCCCAUAACGAGCGCAACCCUUACCCUUAUUUGCCAGCGAUUCGGUCGGGAACUAUAAGGGGACUGCCGGUGAUAAACCGGAGGAAGGUGAGGACGACGUCAAGUCAUCAUGGCCCUUACGUGUAGGGCUACACACGUGCUACAAUGGGGAGUACAGAUAGACGCUAAAGCGCGAGCUGGUGCUAAUCUCAUAAAACUCUUCGUGGUCCGGAUUGCAGUCUGCAACUCGACUGCAUGAAGUCGGAAUCGCUAGUAAUCGCGAAUCAGCAUGUCGCGGUGAAUACGUUCUCGGGUCUU